AAAAACUUAGUUAAAAAAUAACAUUAACUUGUCAAGUUAAAAUUAAUUUCACUAUUAGUUUUUA
RNAcentral lists this transfer RNA (64 nucleotides) under Scraptia sp. SCR03. Its description in RNAcentral is "tRNA-Asp". The record is from RNAcentral. Lineage: Eukaryota; Metazoa; Arthropoda; Insecta; Coleoptera; Scraptiidae.